This is a non-coding RNA of Echinostoma caproni, 82 nucleotides long. NCBI's taxonomy places the organism in Eukaryota, Metazoa, Platyhelminthes, Trematoda, Plagiorchiida, Echinostomatidae. The record is from Rfam.
GGCCUCGUAACUCAGCUGGUAGAGCGUGCGUGUACAAAGCGUAGGCGACGUCCAUGCGUGGGUUCGAAUCCCACCGAGGCUA